Schistosoma curassoni is the source of this 45-nucleotide non-coding RNA. Lineage: Eukaryota; Metazoa; Platyhelminthes; Trematoda; Strigeidida; Schistosomatidae. The record is from Rfam.
AUCCAGCUUACGAGUUCUAAAUAGGACGAAACGAGCAUCCUGGAU